CCUACGGGGGGCUGCAGUGGGGAAUAUUGCACAAUGGGCGCAAGCCUGAUGCAGCCAUGCCGCGUGUGUGAAGAAGGCCUUCGGGUUGUAAAGCACUUUCAGCGGGGAGGAAGGCGGUGAGGUUAAUAACCUCAUCGAUUGACGUUACCCGCAGAAGAAGCACCGGCUAACUCCGUGCCAGCAGCCGCGGUAAUACGGAGGGUGCAAGCGUUAAUCGGAAUUACUGGGCGUAAAGCGCACGCAGGCGGUCUGUCAAGUCGGAUGUGAAAUCCCCGGGCUCAACCUGGGAACUGCAUUCGAAACUGGCAGGCUAGAGUCUUGUAGAGGGGGGUAGAAUUCCAGGUGUAGCGGUGAAAUGCGUAGAGAUCUGGAGGAAUACCGGUGGCGAAGGCGGCCCCCUGGACAAAGACUGACGCUCAGGUGCGAGAGCGUGGGGAGCAAACAGGAUUAGAUACCCGGGUAGUC
This 465-nucleotide ribosomal RNA is filed under the name uncultured Klebsiella sp. RNAcentral describes it as "bacterial SSU rRNA". It matches the Rfam family "Bacterial small subunit ribosomal RNA", at positions 338 to 795 of the family's 1533-position model. The record is from RNAcentral. Lineage: Bacteria; Pseudomonadati; Pseudomonadota; Gammaproteobacteria; Enterobacterales; Enterobacteriaceae.